RNAcentral lists this long non-coding RNA (1018 nucleotides) under Bemisia tabaci. RNAcentral's name for it is "lncRNA ENSSWEETPG010291". Lineage: Eukaryota; Metazoa; Arthropoda; Insecta; Hemiptera; Aleyrodidae. The record is from RNAcentral.
GACACACAUUUACUUCUUAUUUUACUUAAAAAACUACACUAAAAAAAGUUUUUGGUAAAUAUUUUGACUUAAAGCGUCGAUUCUUGUCGACAACAUUUGGUUUUUUUAGGUAAAAGAAACGUUGUUUUGCUAUUGUUUUUAAACUGGAACUUAAAGAUAGUUAAAACGGCGCCUCUUUAACUAAAAAAAAACGAUUUUGAAUAGAAUCUGCACGGAUUUAACUUUAAAAAAGCAAGUUGUGUGACAAGAAACGACGCUUCAAGUCAAAAUAAUAUCCCAUGUAUUUUUUUCCGGUUGUACCUAUAAGGGAGUUCUUUUACGUAAAUUUUUUUUUUUUUUUUUUUUAAGAAAAAAUUGUCUGUUUAAAAAUUACUCUCUAUGAUCCAGUAUUUUUUUAAAGUAGUGUUUUUAACAUUCAAUGCUACAGGGGAUCUCGUCCGCGCGAAGAUGGCCUGAGCAGGCCUCCUUCAUUAAUCAGCAUCUCGCAUUGAAUAUCAAAGGGGGCCGCUAAGUGAUAGGCGGAUCUCCCUCGGACGUGCCGGUUGCCUACUCGCGACGCGGAAGGCGCCGAUUAGUCGCGGGAGGAGGCUGCCAAAUCGUGUGCCUUUAGGAUCGAUCGACUUGGACGGACAACGUCGUACGAUCCGAUCGGAUCGCAUCGCGCCGGAGACCGUUGUGGUUCCGACUCAUUUUCGGUCUCACAAUCCGUGACCCCCCUGGGCCCCGGGCGGUCGCGCGCCAAUUCCCUCGCCCACCCCCUCCUCCCACGGGAAAGUCGAGCUAAUUAACGCUUUCCGAUUAUUCUGAUGCUGCCGGAUUGAUUAGUUGACACUUGCUGCUCUGUAAUUAAUAGGACUGAUAGGAAAAGCGAAGAGAGUGAAAAUAGGCAUAUGAAUACGUCUACGUCAGAAUCUAGAAAUAGUAAAAAAAAAAGAAAGAAAGAAAAGAGUUUCUUGUGAAGAGAACCCUUUCUGAUUACUGCAGUCCACAGCAAAAACGCAGUAAACUAUAUUACAAA